AAUCAAACCAAAGACUUCUAUCUCUUCCUGAAGAGUAUAUAUGACUCAACUCUUAGUUCCCCAUAGGAGUAUAGUUGACUCCAUCCUCAUCACAGAGAAAUUCUAUAAAUGAUAAUACUUCUCCCUUUUCUGAAUUCUUAGUGCUAUAGUAUCCCUAUAGUCUCAUACAAUUUAGCUUUUGAUUGUACACUGUCUUUUAAUUGUCUCCUGAAUGUAGUAAAUCUUAUCUCCCCAACAAGAUUCUAAGGAACUGAUCUCCUACCUAAUAGCCUUAGUAAGAGCUGAUGGGGGAAUAUUGUGUGAUGACAUUAUUGUGUUCCUUGUUUAAUAAGUACUCACUGACUUUUUAACAGGACUCCCACACUGAAGCUGGAGCCCUGCUAAAGUACUACAGCAUAGCCUGUCUAAUGCAGAAACCACCAAUUAUUGCUGUAAAAAUUCUAAAACUCUGUAGACUACUAUUAUCCCUGAGCUCAGUAAGCAUAGAAGGAAAGCAUUGUUUAAAUGCCUACUUAAAAUAUAUAAAAUGUUGGCUAAGUGCCAGAAGACUUCAUAGACAUCAUUAUUUAAAUAUAUAUUUAAAAUAUGUCAUCACCUUUAAAAAGCUAAGUGAAGCAAUGACUUUGACUUCCUUUGGUUAUUGUCACUGAUAAGAUUCUAGCAGAAUUUUCCCAUGUUAGCUUCCUGAACAACAUAGCCAAUUAGGUGCCCUCCACAUGUGGUUGAAUAAGUAUGACCACUGUCUUUCACUGAAGCUUGAGAGUGCAUCAACUUGGGCUGUGUCACACUUGCCCAUCAUACUUAGCUUUCAGUUUUCUACAACCCAAGAUCUUUUUCAAACUACUAUUUUUAUUAACUUUGUGUUUGUCAAGAUAAUUUUUUAACUCAAUUGUAAGACUUAUGUCUAAUAAAUUUCUUAAUAGAUUUAUGAGAGGCAGUGUGAUACAAUGGAUAGGAGAAAGUUGGCCUCAGCCAGAAAUAUCUAGAGUCAAGUCGUCCUUCUAACACAUAUUAGUUGUAUGGGCAAGUUACUUAACUUCUCAAUGCUCUAGGUAGUUCUCUAAAACUAUUAAGUUCCAGAGACAUUAUUAGCCUGUAUUGCCAGAACAAAUUAGUCACUAGCAGCUCCAGUUCCUUUCCUUAACAUAUUUGAUUCAUCAUAAUAGCUUUGUAGAAAUAUUUUGUUGGAACCCGAUUGUUACCACCAUGAGAGC
RNAcentral lists this long non-coding RNA (1214 nucleotides) under Sarcophilus harrisii (Tasmanian devil). Its description in RNAcentral is "lncRNA (ENSSHAG00000025044.1)". Lineage: Eukaryota; Metazoa; Chordata; Mammalia; Dasyuromorphia; Dasyuridae. The record is from RNAcentral.